This 441-nucleotide ribosomal RNA is filed under the name uncultured Chloroflexota bacterium. RNAcentral describes it as "bacterial SSU rRNA". It matches the Rfam family "Bacterial small subunit ribosomal RNA", at positions 929 to 1382 of the family's 1533-position model. Lineage: Bacteria; Bacillati; Chloroflexota. The record is from RNAcentral.
GCGGUGGAGCAUGUGGUUUAAUUCGAUGCAACGCGAAGAACCUUACCUGGGCUUGACAUCUGGGGAAUCCCCUGGAAACAGGGGAGUGCCUUUCGGGGAGCCCCAAGACAGGUGCUGCAUGGCUGUCGUCAGCUCGUGCCGUGAGGUGUUGGGUUAAGUCCCGCAACGAGCGCAACCCUCGUGCUAUGUUGAUUUCUCAUAGCAGACUGCCUUGUACAGCAAGGAGGAAGGUGGGGAUGACGUCAAGUCAGCAUGGCCUUUAUGCCCUGGGCUACACACACGCUACAAUGGGUGGGUACAGAGGGUUGCCACGGAGCAAUCCGGAGCGAAUCCCUUAAAACCAUCCUCAGUUCGGAUUGCAGGCUGCAAUCGCCUGCAUGAAGCCGGAGCUGCUAGUAACCGCAGGUCAGCUAUACUGCGGUGAAUACGUUCUCGGGCCUU